UCAGUAUCUGGUGUGACCACCAUUUGCCUCACGCAGUGCAACACAUCUCCUUCGCAUAGAGUUGAUCAGGUUGUUGAUUGUGGCCUGUGGAAUGUUGGACCACUCCUCUUCAAUGGCUGUGCAAAGUUGCUGGAUAUUGGCGGGACCUGGAACACGCUUUCGUAUACGCUGAUCCACAGCAUCCCAAACAUUCUCAAUGGGUGACAUGUCCGGCGCAGCUCCUGGCGCUGCCACCUGAGGACCCCGAGGAUGAGGUGCAAGCCGGUACGAACGGCGAGCAUGGAACUCCGAUGUCAGGGAGGGGUCGCAGAUGUCCACCGCCCGGACCCAGCUGCGCUCCUCAGGGCCGUAACCCGCCCAGUCCACCAGGUACUGGACCUGGCCCUGCCGCAGCCGGGAGUCACACGAUACGUCGGACCCCCAACCACCUCCACUGUGGGUGGAGGCGCCCCUGCAGGACUGAAUCCCCCCAGCGGACCAGGAAUCACCGACCCAAACAGAGAGACAUAGAAAGUUGGUGAGAG
This is a long non-coding RNA of Esox lucius (northern pike), 524 nucleotides long. Lineage: Eukaryota; Metazoa; Chordata; Actinopteri; Esociformes; Esocidae. The record is from Ensembl.